RNAcentral lists this ribosomal RNA (301 nucleotides) under uncultured bacterium. RNAcentral describes it as "partial 16S ribosomal RNA". It matches the Rfam family "Bacterial small subunit ribosomal RNA", at positions 509 to 808 of the family's 1533-position model. The record is from RNAcentral.
CAGUCGCCGCGGUAAUACGUGGGUCCCGAGCGUUGUCCGGAUUUAUUGGGCGUAAAGCGAGCGCAGGCGGUUAGAAAAGUCUGAAGUGAAAGGCAGUGGCUCAACCAUUGUAGGCUUUGGAAACUGUUUAACUUGAGUGCAGAAGGGGAGAGUGGAAUUCCAUGUGUAGCGGUGAAAUGCGUAGAUAUAUGGAGGAACACCGGUGGCGAAAGCGGCUCUCUGGUCUGUAACUGACGCUGAGGCUCGAAAGCGUGGGGAGCAAACAGGAUUAGAUACCCUAGUAGUCCCUGUCUCUUAUACC